Molecule: long non-coding RNA, 288 nt
Filed under: Elaeis guineensis (African oil palm)
Lineage: Eukaryota; Viridiplantae; Streptophyta; Magnoliopsida; Arecales; Arecaceae
Description: long non-coding RNA (EGUI_LNC034853)
Source: RNAcentral
GCAAUAGAAGUCGUGGACGGAGCCCGGCUCCCGUAGGAGUCCGGACGGAGUCUUCCUUGCAGUAGAAGUCGUGGACGGAGCGACGGGAGUUCACCAACAGUAGUCAAAAGUCGGAAGAGACUUGCGAGGGUCGAUCCCACCGAGAACUUCGGCCGAGGGUAUUUUAUACCCAACAAUAUGAAUGCAAGUCUGUUUUUAUUAUUGUAUAUGUAGAUGUAAUUAAUUCUUAAAAUUAGAUUUCAAAUCUUAGUAGUCUAAUACUUAAAUUAAAAUGACCAUUAGGCCAUC